Molecule: long non-coding RNA, 1588 nt
Organism: Oncorhynchus keta (chum salmon)
Lineage: Eukaryota; Metazoa; Chordata; Actinopteri; Salmoniformes; Salmonidae
Exons: 3
Source: RefSeq, a predicted model, not a curated record
CAGUGGAGAGAUGGAUGGAUGAGGAGGCCAAGGUUGACGUUUGGUUAGGAAGAAAAAUAAACGUUUUGUUUUCGAGAUGAUAGUUUCCGGAUUCGACCAUAUUAAUGACCUACGGCUAGAGAGGGGGAAGGGAGAGGACGAGCCCACAGGCCUGUUAGUUGUCAGGAUGGACAGAGUGGAGUAGAGAGGCGGAAGGGAGAGGAUGAGCCCACAGGCCUGUUAGAUGUCAGGAUGGACAGAGUGGAGUAGAGAGGGGGAAGGGAGAGGACGAGCCCACAGGCCUGUUAGUUGUCAGGAUGGACAGAGUGGAGUAGAGAGGCGGAAGGGAGAGGAUGAGCCCACAGGCCUGUUAGAUGUCAGGAUGGACAGAGUGGAGUAGAGAGGGGGAAGGGAGAGGACGAGCCCACAGGCCUGUUAGUUGUCAGGAUGGACAGAGUGGAGUAGAGAGGCGGAAGGGAGAGGAUGAGCCCACAGGCCUGUUAGAUGUCAGGAUGGACAGAGUGGAGUAGAGAGGGGGAAGGGAGAGGACGAGCCCACAGGCCUGUUAGAUGUCAGGAUGGACAGAGUGGAGUAGAGAGGGGGAAGGGAGAGGACGAGCCCACAGGCCUGUUAUAGAUGUCAGAAUGGACAGAGUGGAGUAGAGAGGCGGAAGGGAGAGGACGAGCCCACAGGCCUGUUAGGUGUCAGAAUGGACAGAGUGGAGUAGAGAGGGGGAAGGGAGAGGACGAGCCCACAGGCCUGUUAGGUGUCAGAAUGGACAGAGUGGAGUAGAGAGGGGGAAGGGAGAGGACGAGCCCACAGGCCUGUUAGAUGUCAGGAUGGACAGAGUGGAGUAGAGAGGGGGAAGGGAGAGGACGAGCCCACAGGCCUGUUAGGUGUCAGAAUGGACAGAGUGGAGUAGAGAGGGGGAAGGGAGAGGACGAGCCCACAGGCCUGUUAGGUGUCAGGAUGGACAGAGUGGAGGAGAGAGGGGGAAGGGAGAGGACGAGCCCACAGGCCUGUUAUAGAUGUCAGAAUGGACAGAGUGGAGUAGAGAGGGGGAAGGGAGAGGACGAGCCCACAGGCCUGUUAUAGAUGUCAGAAUGGACAGAGUGGAGUAGAGAGGGGGAAGGGAGAGGACGAGCCCACAGGCCUGUUAGGUGUCAGGAUGGACAGAGUGGAGUAGAGAGGGGGAAGGGAGAGGACGAGCCCACAGGCCUGUUAGAUGUCAGGAUGGACAGAGUGGAGUAGAGAGGGGGAAGGGAGAGGACGAGCCCACAGGCCUGUUAGAUGUCAGAAUGGACAGAGUGGAGUAGAGAGGGGGAAGGGAGAGGACGAGCCCACAGGCCUGUUAGGUGUCAGGAUGGACAGAGUGGAGUAGAGAGGAGGAAGGGAGAGGACGAGCCCACAGGCCUGUUAGGUGUCAGGAUGGACAGAGUGGAGUAGAGAGGGGGAAGGGAGAGGACGAGCCCACAGGCCUGUUAGAUGUCAGAAUGGACAGAGUGGAGUAGAGAGGGGGAAGGGAGAGGACGAGCCCACAGGCCUGUAGUCGGGUGAUUAGAGAAACAGACUGUCCAGUGACUAGACUACAUAGUGAGACAGAGAGAGG